GCUGGCGUAGCUCAGUUGGUAGAGCAUCUGAUUUGUAAUCAGAGGGUCAGUUGGUAGAGCAUCUGAUUUGUAAUCAGAGGGUCGGGGGUUCAAGCCCCUCCGCCAGCUCCA
Molecule: transfer RNA, 111 nt
Filed under: Candidatus Sulfopaludibacter sp. SbA4
Lineage: Bacteria; Pseudomonadati; Acidobacteriota; Terriglobia; Bryobacterales; Solibacteraceae
Description: tRNA-Thr
Rfam family: tRNA
About the family: Transfer RNA (tRNA) molecules are approximately 80 nucleotides in length.
Source: RNAcentral